AUUGAACGCUGGCGGCAGGCCUAACACAUGCAAGUCGAGCGGAUGAAGGGAGCUUGCUCCUGGAUUCAGCGGCGGACGGGUGAGUAAUGCCUAGGAAUCUGCCUGGUAGUGGGGGAUAACGUCCGGAAACGGGCGCUAAUACCGCAUACGUCCUGAGGGAGAAAGUGGGGGAUCUUCGGACCUCACGCUAUCAGAUGAGCCUAGGUCGGAUUAGCUAGUUGGUGGGGUAAAGGCCUACCAAGGCGACGAUCCGUAACUGGUCUGAGAGGAUGAUCAGUCACAUGGGAGAAGAGACACGGCCCAGCCACCUACGGGAGCAACCAGGGGGGAAUUUUGGACAAUGGGGGAAAACCUGAUCCAGCCAUGCCGGGUGUGUAAAGAGGUUCUUGGAAUUGUAAGGAAUUUUAGGUUGGGAGGAAGGGAAGUAAUUAAAUACCUCGCUUUUUUGACGUUACCAACAAAAAAAGCACCGGCUAACUCCGUG
Molecule: ribosomal RNA, 484 nt
Filed under: uncultured bacterium
Lineage: Bacteria
Description: partial 16S ribosomal RNA
Rfam family: Bacterial small subunit ribosomal RNA
Source: RNAcentral